UUUUAAACAUUUUGCUUUUUUUUUUUUUUUAAUUGGUCAAAGGCCUCUUUGGAAAACUGGCCGGGUCAACCGGCUGUUGGCCACUAAUUCCUCAUGUUUUUUCAUGCCUAUUUGUUCUUAUUAUGAGUUCUUGUUGCCCAUGGACGUGCAACUAAAUUUUGUGUAUAUGAUGGGCAUAGGACCUAUGUGAAUUGCAAGAAUUUUAUUUUGGAGUCUCUUUUGUUAUUGUAGAUUCUUAUGUCCACUAUCUAUCAUAUUUGUUUGCGAUUUUUCACUUUGUUGAUUUUCAUUUGCCAUUUCUUUUUAAUUUUGUUUUGUUUUGUUUUCUUUGUUCAUGUGGAAUACCCUUAACUUUAUUCAUAUAAAUUUUCUAGCAACAGUGCAAUGACUAUGUAACGAAGACGUAUCCAGCAGAUGUUCAAAACUUAGAAAAGUUUAUUCAUGUUGAGAGACGAGCAGGAAAUACGUCAGCCGUAGCUAACGCUUCAAUUUUGGCAGCUUUGAACUUGAGGCAAGAUUUAUCACGUCUAAAGCCUUCAGUUUUUAUGUUUAAAUAUUUUUACUUGUAGUAUGUUUAUUGGUGUAUUUUCCUAACUUUUGUAAUUUCUUAUUGGUUCUCACUUAUUUAGAUUAAACUUCUAUCCUAUUAUUUAUCUGUAACUCAAAUUUUUUUUUUUUCAUUUUCUUUAGUGAUUUAGACUUAUAUGUUCUUGUUUGUUAGCAAGAAUGACCAAAUUUGCCUACUUUGAUUUAGGGUUUCUAUUUUUAAAAGAUUACCGUAUGAUUGUUUCUAGCCUAACACGUGAUCAAUAUUUUCAUUAUUCGUGUCUGUUUCGAUACCUCCAUUUAAUGAAUUAUUUUGAGUUCUAUGUGAAAGGUUAUUGUGUUGCAGGAUGGAUUUUGUUGUUGUUUCUCACCUAAUUGAAAUUGUGUUUCCUUUGUCUUACUGAAUUUGUUUCUAAGUGUGUAUGGUUGUGAGUGGCACAUAUUCCUAGAAACACCGGAUGCAUUGCUAGAACCUGUGCUGUUUUAUUUGUUGGAUUAUCAACUUCCGUAUUUCUCUUCGGAUUUGAUUAUUAGCUGUAAAUAAAUUGGAAUGAUGAAAGAUGGAAGAUUUCAGUGAAUUAUUGAGGUGUAAGAUGGAAGAUGCUAGCAUAGGAAUGUUGACAUCAAAAUCGUUGAAGUUAAUUUUGUACUAUAAUCCACUUAUUUGGUGAAGCUAUUGAAUGUGUUCUAGUUCACUAGGAAUGUGUUCUAGUUCAUUUUUGUGUGGAUUCAAAAAUUCAUAACGAAAUUAUUAUCAAUUUUGUUCGUUAA
RNAcentral lists this long non-coding RNA (1317 nucleotides) under Olea europaea subsp. europaea. Lineage: Eukaryota; Viridiplantae; Streptophyta; Magnoliopsida; Lamiales; Oleaceae. The record is from RNAcentral.